UUUGGUCUUAAUGCUAGUGGAUGAGAGGAAAACUCCAUAGUUAAGCGUGCUCAGGUGGGAGUAGUACUAGGAUGGGUGACCUUCUGAUAAGUCUCCACCGAGGCAACAA
This 109-nucleotide ribosomal RNA is filed under the name Helianthus annuus (common sunflower). The record is from RNAcentral. Lineage: Eukaryota; Viridiplantae; Streptophyta; Magnoliopsida; Asterales; Asteraceae.